Molecule: small nuclear RNA, 102 nt
Organism: Sorex araneus (European shrew)
Lineage: Eukaryota; Metazoa; Chordata; Mammalia; Eulipotyphla; Soricidae
Source: RefSeq, a predicted model, not a curated record
GUGCUUGCUUCAGCAGCACAUAUACUAAAAUUGGAAUGAUACAAAGAUUAGUAUGACUCCUGAGCAAGAAUGACACAAAUUCUUGAAGCAUUCCACAUUUAA